RNAcentral lists this small nucleolar RNA (89 nucleotides) under Microtus ochrogaster (prairie vole). RNAcentral's name for it is "Small nucleolar RNA SNORD14 (ENSMOCG00000010675.1)". It matches the Rfam family "Small nucleolar RNA SNORD14". Rfam says of the family: U14 small nucleolar RNA (U14 snoRNA) is required for early cleavages of eukaryotic precursor rRNAs. Lineage: Eukaryota; Metazoa; Chordata; Mammalia; Rodentia; Cricetidae. The record is from Rfam by way of RNAcentral.
UCACUAUGAUGAAUGGUCCAAAACAUUCGCGGUUUCCACCAGAAUGUCAAGCAAUGUUGGCAGUUAACCUUCCUUGGAUGUCUGAGUGA